GACGAACGCUGGCGGCGUGCUUAACACAUGCAAGUCGAGCGGAAAGGCCCUGCCUUUGUGGGGUGCUCGAGUGGCGAACGGGUGAGUAACACGCGAGUAACCUGCCCUUGACUUUGGGAUAACUUCAGGAAACUGGGGCUAAUACCAGAUAGGAGCUCCUGCGGCAUGGUGGGGGUUGGAAAGUUUCGGCGGUUGGGGAUGGACUCGCGGCUUAUCAGCUUGUUGGUGGGGUAGUGGCUUACCAAGGGUUUGACGGGUAGCCGGCCUGAGAGGGUGACCGGCCACAUUGGGACUGAGAUACGGCCCAGAAUCCUACGGGAGGCAGCAGUGGGGAAUAUUGCACAAUGGGCGGAAGCCUGAUGCAGCAACGCCGCGUGCGGGAUGACGGCCUUCGGGUUGUAAACCGCUUUCGCCUGUGACGAAGCGUGAGUGACGGUAAUGGGUAAAGAAGCACCGGCUAACUACGUG
Molecule: ribosomal RNA, 468 nt
Filed under: uncultured bacterium
Lineage: Bacteria
Description: partial 16S ribosomal RNA
Rfam family: Bacterial small subunit ribosomal RNA
Source: RNAcentral